This 387-nucleotide ribosomal RNA is filed under the name uncultured bacterium. RNAcentral's name for it is "bacterial SSU rRNA". It matches the Rfam family "Bacterial small subunit ribosomal RNA", at positions 29 to 418 of the family's 1533-position model. The record is from RNAcentral.
AACGAACGCUGGCGGCAUGCCUUACACAUGCAAGUCGAACGGCAGCACGGGGGCAAUCCUGGUGGCGAGUGGCGAACGGGUGAGUAAAGCAUCGGAACGUGCCCUGGAGUGGGGGAUAACGUAGCGAAAGUUACGCUAAUACCGCAUAUUCUGUGAGCAGGAAAGCAGGGGAUCGCAAGACCUUGCGCUCUGGGAGCGGCCGAUGUCGGAUUAGCUAGUUGGUGGGUAAAGGCCUACCAAGGCGACGAUCCGUAGCGGGUCUGAGAGGAUGAUCCGCCACACUGGGACUGAGACACGGCCCAGACUCCUACGGGAGGCAGCAGUGGGGAAUUUUGGACAAUGGGCGAAAGCCUGAUCCAGCCAUGCCGCGUGAGUGAAGAAGGCCUC